RNAcentral lists this transfer RNA (88 nucleotides) under Bacillota bacterium. RNAcentral's name for it is "tRNA-Leu". It matches the Rfam family "tRNA". Rfam says of the family: Transfer RNA (tRNA) molecules are approximately 80 nucleotides in length. Their secondary structure includes four short double-helical elements and three loops (D, anti-codon, and T loops). The record is from RNAcentral. Lineage: Bacteria; Bacillati; Bacillota.
GCCGAGGUGGCGGAACCGGCAGACGCGCGCGACUCAAAAUCGCGUGGGGCGACCCCCCGUGAGGGUUCGACUCCCUCCCUCGGCACCA